UGAGGUCACCAAGGUCCUGGGCAGGACCGGUUCUCAGGGACAGUGCACGCAGGUGCGCGUGGAAUUCAUGGACGACACGAGCCGAUCCAUCAUCCGCAAUGUAAAAGGCCCCGUGCGCGAGGGCGACGUGCUCACCCUUUUGGAGUCAGAGCGAGAAGCCCGGAGGUUACGCUGAGCUUGGCUGCUCGCUGGGUCUUGGAUGUCGGGUUCGACCACUUGGCCGAUGGGAAUGGUCUGUCACAAUCUGCUCCUUUUUUUUGUCCGCCACACGGAAUUGAGAUGCUCCUUUAAAUAAAGCGUUUGUGUUUCAAGUUAACUCAGGUUCUUGUCUGGGUUAUGCGACUAGGGUUUCUCCAGGUUUCUUGAGUGGCUCCCAGGCGGUCACCGAUCCUCCGCACUCUGGAAAUC
This 408-nucleotide long non-coding RNA is filed under the name Pan troglodytes (chimpanzee). RNAcentral's name for it is "long non-coding RNA NONPTRT007951". The record is from RNAcentral. Lineage: Eukaryota; Metazoa; Chordata; Mammalia; Primates; Hominidae.